CACAUGUGAGACUGGGCAUGAUUCAGAAAAGCUGGAAGAUCUAGAGAGGGAUCUUGCAAUCUGAAGUUUGUUUAGUCACUGGAGGUGAGCCCGAGAAUUUGCAUUUCUGACAAGAUCCCAGGAUUUGAACGUCUAUGACACUCUUCCGAGCUGACACAGUGAAGAACAUGGAAGGAGAACUCACCCAGUCUGCCAGGGUCACAGAUGAUCAUACUCAAGAUCUUCCUGGGGAGUCAACGGCAAAUUUCACUGGGCUACUUUACAGAUGAAGAAGGAAUAUAAAGAAGGUUCUGGGACCCUGAAGUCCACGGAACACCCACCAUUACCUGAUCUUUGGAGCUUGUCAUUUGGCCAGUGGACCCUAAUAAACAUGUCCACGGGGAUGUGGGGAUGGAAUGCCGGAGCCUGGCUCGCUAGGGCAUCCAGGUUCUUCCUCUUUGCCCUGCUGUCUCCAGGCACCAAGAAUCUCCUGCAGUUCCCCAAAGAUGAACCCCCCAGUAUCUCAGGUCACUCUGUUUCCCUUGAUCUUUACCAAAUUCCUGACUCAGAGUUCCUCCCAUUUGCUUCUGACUCUCAUUUUAUUCUUAUGAUGUUUACCAUUUCUGUUCUCCUCAGUGUCCCUCUCUGAGUGCUAAGAGUAUGUUAAUAAGCCAGUGCUCAGACCACAGCACAAGGCAACUGCUCAGUGUCGGUCAUUAUCACUGUUAU
This 708-nucleotide small RNA is filed under the name Pongo abelii (Sumatran orangutan). Its description in RNAcentral is "processed transcript". Lineage: Eukaryota; Metazoa; Chordata; Mammalia; Primates; Hominidae. The record is from RNAcentral.